Molecule: ribosomal RNA, 275 nt
Filed under: uncultured prokaryote
Description: partial 16S ribosomal RNA
Rfam family: Bacterial small subunit ribosomal RNA
Source: RNAcentral
UACGGAGGAUCCGAGCGUUAUCCGGAUUUAUUGGGUUUAAAGGGUGCGCAGGCGGAAUAUUAAGUCGGCGGUGAAAGUUUGCAGCUUAACUGUAAAAUUGCCGUUGAUACUGGUAUUCUUGAGUGUAUAUGAAGUAGGCGGAAUUUGUAGUGUAGCGGUGAAAUGCAUAGAUAUUACAAGGAACUCCGAUUGCGAAGGCAGCUUACUAAAAUACAACUGACGCUCAGGCACGAAGGCGUGGGGAUCAAACAGGAUUAGAUACCCCCGUAGUCCCU